This 459-nucleotide ribosomal RNA is filed under the name beta proteobacterium '4.1 MW-11'. RNAcentral's name for it is "bacterial SSU rRNA". It matches the Rfam family "Bacterial small subunit ribosomal RNA", at positions 1 to 465 of the family's 1533-position model. Lineage: Bacteria; Pseudomonadati; Pseudomonadota; Betaproteobacteria. The record is from RNAcentral.
UGGAGAUUUGAUCCUGGCUCAGAUUGAACGCUGGCGGCAUGCUUUACACAUGCAAGUCGAACGGCAGCACGGGAGCUUGCUCCUGGUGGCGAGUGGCGAACGGGUGAGUAAUGCGUCGGAACGUGCCGAGUAGAGGGGGAUAACGCAGCGAAAGUUGUGCUAAUACCGCAUAAGCUCUGAGGAGGAAAGCGGGGGACCGAAAGGCCUCGCGCUACUUGAUCGGCCGACGUCUGAUUAGCUAGUUGGUGGGGUAAAUGCCUACCAAGGCGAUGAUCAGUAGCGGGUCUGAGAGGAUGAUCCGCCACACUGGGACUGAGAAACGGCCCAGACUCCUACGGGAGGCAGCAGUGGGGAAUUUUGGACAAUGGGGGCAACCCUGAUCCAGCCAUGCCGCGUGUCUGAAGAAGGCCCUCGGGUUGUAAAGGACUUUUGUCGGGGAGCAAAACCUGCCUGUGAAUA